RNAcentral lists this ribosomal RNA (289 nucleotides) under uncultured bacterium. RNAcentral describes it as "partial 16S ribosomal RNA". It matches the Rfam family "Bacterial small subunit ribosomal RNA", at positions 335 to 622 of the family's 1533-position model. The record is from RNAcentral.
GUCCUACGGGGGGCAGCAGUGAGGAAUAUUGGUCAAUGGGAGAGAUCCUGAACCAGCCAAGCCGCGUGAGGGAAGACGGCCCUAUGGGUUGUAAACCUCUUUUGUCGGAGAACAAAACCCGGGACGUGUCCCGGACUGCGUGUAUCCGAAGAAAAAGCAUCGGCUAACUACGUGCCAGCAGCCGCGGUAAUACGUAGGUGGCAAGCGUUGUCCGGAUUUAUUGGGCGUAAAGCGAGUGCAGGCGGGUCAAUAAGUUUGAUGUGACAGACUUCGGCUCAACCGGAGGAUU